AGAUUGAACGCUGGCGGCAGGCCUAACACAUGCAAGUCGAGCGGCAGCACGGGUACUUGUACCUGGUGGCGAGCGGCGGACGGGUGAGUAAUGCCUAGGAAUCUGCCUGGUAGUGGGGGAUAACGCUCGGAAACGGACGCUAAUACCGCAUACGUCCUACGGGAGAAAGCAGGGGACCUUCGGGCCUUGCGCUAUCAGAUGAGCCUAGGUCGGAUUAGCUAGUUGGUGGGUAAUGGCUCACCAAGGCGACGAUCCGUAACUGGUCUGAGAGGAUGAUCAGUCACACUGGAACUGAGACACGGUCCAGACUCCGUACGGGAGGCAGCAGUGGGGAAUAUUGGACAAUGGGACGAAAGCCUGAUCCAGCCAUGCCGCGUGUGUGAAGAAGUCUUCGGAUUGUAAAGCAACGUUUUAAGUUGGGAGGAAGGCUAAGUUACCUAAUACGUAUCUUGUUUAGACGUUACACAGAAUAGCACCGCUAACUCU
This 486-nucleotide ribosomal RNA is filed under the name uncultured soil bacterium. RNAcentral describes it as "bacterial SSU rRNA". It matches the Rfam family "Bacterial small subunit ribosomal RNA", at positions 26 to 504 of the family's 1533-position model. The record is from RNAcentral.